Molecule: ribosomal RNA, 492 nt
Filed under: uncultured bacterium
Lineage: Bacteria
Description: partial 16S ribosomal RNA
Rfam family: Bacterial small subunit ribosomal RNA
Source: RNAcentral
AUUGAACGCUGGCGGUAUGCCUAACACAUGCAAGUCGAACGGCAGCACAGUAAGAGCUUGCUCUUACGGGUGGCGAGUGGCGUACGGGUGAGGAAUGCAUCGGAAUCUACUUUUUCGUGGGGGAUAACGUAGGGAAACUUACGCUAAUACCGCAUACGACCUACGGGUGAAAGGAGGGGAACUUCUGGCCUUGCGCGAUUGGAUGAGCCGAUGUCGGAUUAGCUAGUUGGCGGGGUAAAGGCCCACCAAGGCGACGAUCCGUAGCUGGUCUGAGAGGAUGAUCAGCCACACUGGAACUGAGACACGGUCCAGACUCCUACGGGAGGCAGCAGUGGGGAAUAUUGGACAAUGGGCGCAAGCCUGAUCCAGCCAUACCGCGUGGGUGAAGAAGGCCUUCGGGUUGUAAAGCCCUUUUGUUGGGAAAGAAAAGCAGCAGGUUAAUACCACGCGGUUCUGACGGUACCGAAAGAAUAAGCACCGGCUAACUUCGUG